This 254-nucleotide ribosomal RNA is filed under the name uncultured bacterium. Its description in RNAcentral is "partial 16S ribosomal RNA". It matches the Rfam family "Bacterial small subunit ribosomal RNA", at positions 524 to 776 of the family's 1533-position model. The record is from RNAcentral.
UACGUAGGGCGCAAGCGUUGUCCGGAAUUAUUGGGCGUAAAGAGCUCGUAGGCGGUCUGUCGCGUCGGCUGUGAAAACCCGAGGCUCAACCUCGGGCCUGCAGUCGAUACGGGCAUCGCUGGAGUGCGGCAGGGGAGACUGGAAUUCCUGGUGUAGCGGUGGAAUGCGCAGAUAUCAGGAGGAACACCGGUGGCGAAGGCGGGUCUCUGGGCCGUUACUGACGCUGAGGAGCGAAAGCGUGGGGAGCGAACAGG